Molecule: ribosomal RNA, 279 nt
Filed under: Pseudomonas frederiksbergensis
Lineage: Bacteria; Pseudomonadati; Pseudomonadota; Gammaproteobacteria; Pseudomonadales; Pseudomonadaceae
Description: partial 23S ribosomal RNA
Rfam family: Bacterial large subunit ribosomal RNA
Source: RNAcentral
GGCGGGUGCUAACGUCCGUCGUGAAAAGGGAAACAACCCAGACCGCCAGCUAAGGUCCCAAAGUUAUGGUUAAGUGGGAAACGAUGUGGGAAGGCUUAGAAAGCUAGGAGGUUGGCUUAGAAGCAGCCACCCUUUAAAGAAAGCGUAAUAGCCCACUAGUCGAGUCGGCCUGCGCGGAAGAUGUAACGGGGCUCAAACCAUACACCGAAGCUACGGGUAUCACUCAGGUGAUGCGGUAGAGGAGCGUUCUGUAAGCCUGUGAAGGUGAGUUGAGAAGCU